CUGCUGCCUCCCGUAGGAGUCUGGUCCGUGUCUCAGUACCAGUGUGGGGGACCUUCCUCUCAGAACCCCUACGCAUCGUCGCCACGGUGGGCCGUUACCCCGCCGUCUAGCUAAUGCGCCGCAUGCCCAUCCUCUUCCGAUGAAUCUUUCCUCGAUCUCGGAUGCCCGAAACCGAUAUACGCGGGAUUAGCCUCCCUUUCGGAAGGUUGUCCCCCCUGAAGAGGGCAGGUUGCAUACGUGUUACUCACCCGUGCGCCGGUCGCCGG
RNAcentral lists this ribosomal RNA (266 nucleotides) under uncultured bacterium. RNAcentral's name for it is "partial 16S ribosomal RNA". The record is from RNAcentral.